RNAcentral lists this unclassified non-coding RNA (332 nucleotides) under soil metagenome. RNAcentral describes it as "partial contains small subunit ribosomal RNA, internal transcribed spacer 1, and 5.8S ribosomal RNA". The record is from RNAcentral.
UCUCCGUAGGUGAACCUGCGGAGGGAUCAUUAACAAAGUAGCACAGUGCGGGUAGCGUGACUGCGAGAGCAGGACGGUAACCGCGCUGUCAUUCGCGUUGCCGAAGUAGUGUUGGAGUGAGCGACGUGUUGUGUGUUGCGAGUUGCGCGUUGUUGCAGCGCAAGCUGUUGCCGUCAUUUUGGUCGCAGCGCAGCUGUAGCCACAACCACUCACAUUCGCACACGUCGCUUUGCUUCACACACUACUCGGCUUCACAUCAUAUUCACAUUCUACAACCCCUUAUAUAUCUCCAACAACUCAUACAACUUUUAACAAUGGAUCUCUUGGCUCUU